RNAcentral lists this ribosomal RNA (408 nucleotides) under uncultured bacterium. RNAcentral's name for it is "partial 16S ribosomal RNA". It matches the Rfam family "Bacterial small subunit ribosomal RNA", at positions 28 to 526 of the family's 1533-position model. The record is from RNAcentral.
GACGAACGCUGGCGGCGUGCCUAAUACAUGCAAGUCGAGCGAAGCGGCGGAUGGGUGAGUAACGCCUGGGUAACCUGCCCUUAAGUCUGGGAUACCAUUUGGAAACCGAUGCUAAUACCGGAUACUAACGGAUGGACCUGCGAUGCAGUAGGUAGUUGGUAAGGUAACGGCUUACCAAGGCGAUGAUGCAUGUCCGAGUGGAGAGACGGAUCGUGCACAUUGUGCCUGAGACACGGCCCAAACUCCUAGGGGAGGCAGCAGUAGUGAAUCUUCCACAAUGGACGAAAGUCUGAUGGGGUAACGCCGCGUGAGUGAGGAAGGUUUUCGGAUCGUAAAGCUCUGUUGUUGGUGAAGCGGUAAUCAACCAGAAAGUCACGGCUAACUACGUGCCAGCAGCCGCGGUAAUAC